GGUUCCAUAGUGUAGCGGUUAGCACAUCUGCUUUACACACAGAAGGUCCUGGGUUUGUGCCCCAGUGGAGCCA
This 73-nucleotide transfer RNA is filed under the name Pteropus alecto (black flying fox). It matches the Rfam family "tRNA". From Rfam's summary of the family: Transfer RNA (tRNA) molecules are approximately 80 nucleotides in length. Their secondary structure includes four short double-helical elements and three loops (D, anti-codon, and T loops). Lineage: Eukaryota; Metazoa; Chordata; Mammalia; Chiroptera; Pteropodidae. The record is from Rfam by way of RNAcentral. RNAcentral also lists the same sequence under 1 other name.